Molecule: ribosomal RNA, 1250 nt
Filed under: metagenome
Description: bacterial LSU rRNA
Rfam family: Bacterial large subunit ribosomal RNA
Source: RNAcentral
CCUUAUACGACCGUACCGCAAACCGACACUGGUGCGCGAGAUGAGUAUUCUAAGGCGCUUGAGAGAACUCAGGAGAAGGAACUCGGCAAAUUGACACCGUAACUUCGGAAGAAGGUGUGCCCUAUUAGUGUGUAGUGAACAACGAAGCAUGAAUGGGUUGCAAAAAAUCGGUGGCUGCGACUGUUUAUUAAAAACACAGCACUCUGCAAACACGAAAGUGGACGUAUAGGGUGUGACGCCUGCCCGGUGCUGGAAGAUUAAAUGAUGGGGUGCAAGCUCUUGAUUGAAGUCCCAGUAAACGGCGGCCGUAACAAUAACGGUCCUAAGGUAGCGAAAUUCCUUGUCGGGUAAGUUCCGACCUGCACGAAUGGCGUAACGAUGGCCACACUGUCUCCUCCUGAGACUCAGCGAAGUUGAAAUGUUUGUGAUGAUGCAAUCUCCCCGCGGAAAGACGGAAAGACCCCAUGAACCUUUACUGUAGCUUUGUAUUGGACUUUGAACAGAUCUGUGUAGGAUAGGUGGGAGGCUUUGAAGCAGGGUCGCUAGAUCUUGUGGAGCCAACGUUGAAAUACCACCCUGGUGUGUUUGAGGUUCUAACCUAGGUCCAUUAUCUGGAUCGGGGACAGUGCAUGGUAGGCAGUUUGACUGGGGCGGUCUCCUCCCAAAGCGUAACGGAGGAGUUCGAAGGUACGCUAGUUACGGUCGGACAUCGUGACGAUAGUGCAAUGGCAUAAGCGUGCUUAACUGCGAGACUGACAAGUCGAGCAGAUGCGAAAGCAGGACAUAGUGAUCCGGUGGUUCUGUAUGGAAGGGCCAUCGCUCAACGGAUAAAAGGUACUCUGGGGAUAACAGGCUGAUACCGCCCAAGAGUUCAUAUCGACGGCGGUGUUUGGCACCUCGAUGUCGGCUCAUCUCAUCCUGGGGCUGUAGCCGGUCCCAAGGGUAUGGCUGUUCGCCAUUUAAAGAGGUACGUGAGCUGGGUUUAAAACGUCGUGAGACAGUUUGGUCCCUAUCUUCCGUGGGCGCUGCAGAUUUGAGGAAGCCUGCUCCUAGUACGAGAGGACCGGAGUGGACACACCUCUGGUGUAUCGGUUGUCACGCCAGUGGCAUUGCCGAGUAGCUAAGUGUGGAAGAGAUAACCGCUGAAAGCAUCUAAGCGGGAAACUCGUUUCAAGAUGAGAUCUGCCGGGGCCUUGAGCCCCCUAAAGAGUCGUUCAAGACCAGGACGUUGAUAGGUCAGGUGUGGAAGC